AUGACCAAAACUCAAGCACAGAAGCAACAACUUACCAUGAGCAGGGAGCAGUUCAUGAUGGUUGUUCCUCGUUGGUGCUAUGGAAGGCAUGACGGAUGGGCGAGUUUGGUGGAUAGGUGGGUCGGUGACGAUGCAGAGUUUGCUGCCAAGAGCAUCAAGGCCCGGGCUAACCAUGGAAAAGACGGGACACACGGCCAAGGAAACAGGAACCACUGGGCUUCAAGGCCAUGA
RNAcentral lists this ribosomal RNA (231 nucleotides) under Triticum aestivum (bread wheat). RNAcentral describes it as "partial small subunit ribosomal RNA". Lineage: Eukaryota; Viridiplantae; Streptophyta; Magnoliopsida; Poales; Poaceae. The record is from RNAcentral.